UCCAGCUUAUCGCUGGCGGUCUCCUGCGAGUGCCGCCUUUCGGCAUGGUAACACAGGACAAGGGUUGCGCUCGUUGCGGGACUUAACCCAACAUCUCACGACACGAACUGACGACAGCCAUGCAGCACCUGUGCAAGAGCUCCCUUGCGGGCACCCUUCCCUUUCAGGAAGAUUCUCAAGCAUGUCAAGACUAGGAUAAGGUUCUUCGCGUAGCCUCGAAUUAAGCCACAUCCUCCACCGCUUGUGUGAGCCCCCGUCAAUUCCUUUGAGUUUCAGCCUUGCGACCAUACUCCCCAGGCGGGAGGCUUAAUGCGUUAGCUGCGCCACUGAUGAGCAAGCUCACCAACGGCUAGCCUCCAUCGUUUACGGCGUGGACUAC
RNAcentral lists this unclassified non-coding RNA (379 nucleotides) under uncultured bacterium. Its description in RNAcentral is "contains 16S-23S intergenic spacer region". The record is from RNAcentral.